This 253-nucleotide ribosomal RNA is filed under the name uncultured bacterium. RNAcentral describes it as "partial 16S ribosomal RNA". It matches the Rfam family "Bacterial small subunit ribosomal RNA", at positions 524 to 776 of the family's 1533-position model. The record is from RNAcentral.
UACGAAGGGUGCAAGCGUUAAUCGGAAUUACUGGGCGUAAAGCGCGCGUAGGUGGUUCAGUAAGUUGAAUGUGAAAUCCCCGGGCUCAACCUGGGAACUGCAUCCAAAACUGCUGAGCUAGAGUACGGUAGAGGGUAGUGGAAUUUCCUGUGUAGCGGUGAAAUGCGUAGAUAUAGGAAGGAACACCAGUGGCGAAGGCGACUACCUGGACUGGUACUGACACUGAGGUGCGAAAGCGUGGGGAGCAAACAGG